Molecule: transfer RNA, 76 nt
Filed under: Arenibacter troitsensis
Lineage: Bacteria; Pseudomonadati; Bacteroidota; Flavobacteriia; Flavobacteriales; Flavobacteriaceae
Also listed under: 16 other names
Description: tRNA_His_GTG
Rfam family: tRNA
About the family: Transfer RNA (tRNA) molecules are approximately 80 nucleotides in length. Their secondary structure includes four short double-helical elements and three loops (D, anti-codon, and T loops).
Source: RNAcentral
GUGGUUGUAGCUCAGCUGGUUAGAGCGCUGGAUUGUGGUUCCAGAGGUCGCCGGUUCGAACCCGGUCUUCCACCCA